Vidua macroura (Pin-tailed whydah) is the source of this 765-nucleotide long non-coding RNA. RefSeq lists it as uncharacterized. The record is from RefSeq and is a predicted model, not a curated record. Lineage: Eukaryota; Metazoa; Chordata; Aves; Passeriformes; Viduidae. The transcript has 2 exons.
ACAUCCCUCACUGGUUGUAUGUGUGCCUGCAGAGUCGGCUGGGCCAGUUUAGCUCAAGCCUGGGCUUCUACUGAGUGUGUCUGCAUGUGGGAGCUCCUUCUGGCCCUCAGUUCUCCACAGCCUGCUGCAGCAAGUAGACGUGGCCAUGGGGACAGACUGGAGCUGUCCUAUCUGCCACAGCACUCGGAGUGAUUUGGCUUCUGCUCUGCCCCAGUUCUGCCUGGGCUGCCUCCUGCAGUGGUGGUGAGCAGAGGCUGCAGAGGGCUGUAUCCUGCAUGGCCUCUGUGUCUGUGGUCCAAAUGCAAAUAUUUUGGUCGAGCUGCUGGAGCCUCUCCUCAAUGGGCACACAGCAUCACUGGUCUAUGGCAUCAUCAAUGUCAUUGCAGGCCAGUGCAGUGACAAAGCCCAGAGGCUGCUGUGCUUCCAUCAUGCCAGCACCAACUCCAGUAGCUCCAGCUACACUAGCUCCCAGGAGGUGAUGCUUGCCAGUGGACCCACAGGCUCUGAGAGCAGGACCAGCCCCAAGAAGAGCAGGAGCAGACAGUGGCAGCGGCAGGUCCAUCUGCUCAGGGCUACAGCCCCUCUGCUCCUGACCAGGGCAGGGACCACUCUUCUGGAGAGUCCCGGCAUGCCCAGAAGAAGAGAACCCCCAGCCUCCAGAAUUCCCCCAGACCCAAGAAGAGGCCACCGUGCCAGCAGCACUAGCACACAUCCAGGAACUCUUCAGCCAAGAAAAAAGAAAUAAAUUGUCAUUUCCCUGACAAA